AUGUUAGCGAGAGCCACAAAAAAGCGAAUUCCAAUAUAUGUUUUCUGCUUUAUGUGCGCAUCCUCUACCUAUUAAGUGUUAAUUAAAUUAUAAGGGUUUCUUUUUAAAUCUUCUAUAACUAAUAAAAAAAUACGGAAGAUUUUGUUACUUUGAGUAAGCUCUUUGGGGGUUCUCG
This 175-nucleotide ribosomal RNA is filed under the name Plasmodium knowlesi. Its description in RNAcentral is "partial 18S ribosomal RNA". The record is from RNAcentral. Lineage: Eukaryota; Apicomplexa; Aconoidasida; Haemosporida; Plasmodiidae.